This 71-nucleotide transfer RNA is filed under the name Loxodonta africana (African savanna elephant). It matches the Rfam family "tRNA". From Rfam's summary of the family: Transfer RNA (tRNA) molecules are approximately 80 nucleotides in length. Lineage: Eukaryota; Metazoa; Chordata; Mammalia; Proboscidea; Elephantidae. The record is from Rfam by way of RNAcentral.
GCCAUGGUGGUUCUGUGGUAGAAUUCUUGCCUUUCAUGCAGGAGACCUUGGUUCGAUUCCCCACCAAUGCA